AGGCUGGGGAGGGGUGACAGCAAGGACACCUCCUCUUUGAGCUGUUUUCUGAGUCAGCAAGAAUAACUGGGGCUUGGAAGUAUUCUGGUUUCUGCCCCGCUGGGAGCUCCUUUCCUGAAAUGGAAGCUUUGGCCUGGGGGGCCAGAGAGCACAGCGCAGGCCUCCCCAUGGAUGAGGGCGGGGACAGGGUCCAGGGCAGGAGGGCACGGGAGAGCUGUGGGAGGAGGCAGAAGGUUCUAGUUGGGAGGGAGAUCUCAGGGCCCUGGAGGAGGAGGCCAUGGGCUGAGCUGAGACCCAGGCCAGCUCCUCCGCACUGUCGCACCCUGAGCCUCCCGAGUGCCCAGCAGAGCCUCCCGUGAGCUGGUGAGGGCCUUCCGGGCUUCAGCGUCUUGUCCCGUUCGCCUGCAUCGUGGCUAAGGACGCUCGGUGUUGGGGUGUCUGCGGUAGACACAGAAUCAGGACUUGUCCUCGGGCUUACGCGGAGGGCCGUGUCCCUGGCCUGGGGAGGUGGGCGCCAUGGUCCCAAGCAGGGCCCUACGGAGGAGCUCCCGGGCGGCGAGGUGGGGUGAACAUGCAGCCUGGUGCCCCAGUUGGGAGGCUGGUCAAGGCCAGGCAUCUGCUGGUCGUGUGGUACCUCACAGGCACAGGUUUGGGAGGGGGAGGCUGGUCCCCUUGCGUGCGGGGUCCCCGGGCACGGUUGUGGAGCAGGGACAGGCCCACACUUACUGACGGGGCAUGGGUGAGGUCCAUCAGCUCCUGGGACACUAGGUGACUUCGGGGGCCCCCUCCCGUGGCCUGUACCAGGACCUAGACCUUAACGUCCGAGAUGGACGUGAGAGCCGCGUCCCUCUGCAGGUGUCCUCGGGGCCUGCCAGCAGGGCAGGGCACUCAGAGCUGCAGCAGGGUCAGCACAGCUGCUGCCCUCUCGGAAGCAGGGAAGCGGACUCCGGAGUGCACCGCUCUGCCAGGGUGCUGGGACCCCGCACCUGGCCCACUGAGCGGCGUGUCUGCACCUCUGUUCUGGUUGGAUGUAACUGUUCCCAGCAGGAGCUCUGGGGUGGGAGGAAGGAAGAGAGCAGGUUCGGAGCCAUUCAGACCUAGGAUGGACGGUGGCUGACACCGUGGGCCUUGGCACCCAGUGACCUUGACCCUUCCAGAGCCACUGGACACCUGUCGCAGGGCCACUGCCCUGGUGUGCACUUCUGAGGGAUGGCCCCACCAGCUGUCUUCCAGGUGCAGGGUGUGGGGCCCCUGGGGACCGGCAGAGGGCGGUCUUGUCUUUCUCCCGCAAAGCUGUGGAGUCUGAAGAAAGUUCUGGGCUGGGAGCAGGGCCUGCAGGCUGCCUGGCGUUUGCCGGCUGAUGUCCUAGUGGGGUUUCUGUGGGCGCGAGUUUCUUCGUAGAGCCUUGCUUGGGGGUUGUGAGCUCACCAAGAAGAUAGCUGCGUGAAUUUUGACCAAGGUGCUUUUUUUUUUUUUUUUAAUACUGAAGGAAGGUUGUUCUUUGGUCUCAGGAAGGAGGUGAUCCAGUCGGCUCGUCCAGCACGUUGGGAGGGAUUUAUCUCUGAACGUUGGACGAGCCAGGGUCUCGGCAUCAGGGCAGUGGCUGGCCUGAGAGCAGGGAGGGGUGUGGGGAUUCACGGCGCCCUGAGGACCAGCCCCACCCUGCCUAGCAGGGGCUCGCACUGUGUCUGAAGGAACUGGGGGAGGCACCCUCAGGGCAGCUGGGGCUUUGGGGAGAGCCCCGGAAGCCAUGAGGGCUGGUUGGGCAGCAUGACCUUGUCCCGCCAGGCCUGGGGUCCGCAGCACUGCUGGGGCGGGCAGGACUCGGAGCCCAGAGCUGGCAGCAGAACCUUCUCGCCUCACGGCUCUAGGGCCCCCAGGGGAAGGGCAGGUCUCCUAACGGCCUAGGCCGGCGCCUCCCAGUGCAGGAGAUGCAAGGUGCUCUGCGGGGCCGGCUCCAGCCCCAGCCCCACACAGAGCCUGGCCUGUGCCUGGACUGUUUGGGAGCCCUCGGCGCUGUCCCCAGGCAUCCGAGGGAGCGUCUGGUGGGGGCAGCUCCAUGCUGCUCGGGGCAGGCCGGUCAGGGAGCCUCGGGGGAGCGCUGGCGAGGGUGGGAGUCCAGCCUGGAGGAUGGCUGUGGGUGAAGGGGCCCUGCCCCUCUGGCAUGGGGACAGCAGGGCCGGCCGAGACUCAGACUCGCGGGUCACUGAGGCCCUGUAGGCUGCAGCUGCCUGUGGGAAGGUGGCGUGGCUUCAGUGGGAAGGGCGCAUCACUGUCUCUGUCAGCCGAACGGACGCUUUCCAGACACUUCUCCACCAACUGAUUUAAAAAAGGCACUGCUCCGAAGUCCUUGGAGAUUGUGCUCACCCGCGCUGGCGGGCGGCGGCACCUGGACAUGAAGCGAUUGGGGCUCGAGUGGCUGAGUGGCAGCGCCCCUAUUCAGAGUGUGUCUCUGUUCUGUUUGGAAGCAGCUGGGGAUAAAUCUCAAAUAGAUCGAUGUGGAGCAUCAUUUGGUAGAUUUAGUUUCCAGCCCUCUGCUGUGGGAGAGGUGUAAUAAUCUGUGCCUGCUACAUUCGUGAAACUGAUAAAAAUUCUGUAUAAACUUUUAAA
Molecule: non-coding RNA, 2610 nt
Organism: Leptonychotes weddellii (Weddell seal)
Lineage: Eukaryota; Metazoa; Chordata; Mammalia; Carnivora; Phocidae
Source: RefSeq, a predicted model, not a curated record